GACGUAGGGAGCGAGCGUUGUCCGGAUUCAUUGGGCGUAAAGAGCGCGCAGGCGGUUUGGUAAGUCGGAUGUGAAAACCCGGGGCUCAACCCCGGGCGUGCAUCUCGAUUCUGCCCGACUAGAGGUAGGUAGGGGAGAUCGGAAUUCCUGGUGUAGCGGUGAAAUGCGCAGAUAUCAGGAGGAACACCGGUGGCGAAGGCGGCAUCCUGGACCGGUAUUGACGCUGAGGCGCGAAAGCGUGGGGAGCAAACAGG
RNAcentral lists this ribosomal RNA (254 nucleotides) under uncultured bacterium. RNAcentral describes it as "partial 16S ribosomal RNA". It matches the Rfam family "Bacterial small subunit ribosomal RNA", at positions 524 to 776 of the family's 1533-position model. The record is from RNAcentral.